This 376-nucleotide ribosomal RNA is filed under the name uncultured bacterium. RNAcentral's name for it is "bacterial SSU rRNA". It matches the Rfam family "Bacterial small subunit ribosomal RNA", at positions 524 to 898 of the family's 1533-position model. The record is from RNAcentral.
UACGAAGGUCCCAAGCGUUGUUCGGAAUCACUGGGCGUAAAGAGUGCGUAGGCGGCGCGGAAAGUCAGAUGUGAAAUCCCGGGGCUCAACCUCGGAACGGCAUCCGAUACUCCCGCGCUUGAGGACUGGAGGGGAGUCUGGAAUUCACGGUGUAGCAGUGAAAUGCGUAGAUAUCGUGAGGAACACUAGUGGCGAAGGCGAGACUCUGGACAGUUCCUGACGCUGAGGCACGAAGGCCAGGGGAGCGAAGGGGAUUAGAUACCCCCGUAGUCCUGGCAGUAAACGGUGCUCGCUUGGUAUGCGCGGUUUCGACCCCGUGCGUGCCGGAGCUAACGCGUUAAGCGAGCCGCCUGGGAAGUACGGUCGCAAGAUUAAA